This 820-nucleotide long non-coding RNA is filed under the name Salvia miltiorrhiza (redroot sage). RNAcentral describes it as "long non-coding RNA (SMIL_LNC002602)". The record is from RNAcentral. Lineage: Eukaryota; Viridiplantae; Streptophyta; Magnoliopsida; Lamiales; Lamiaceae.
UGAGAAGAAAAAUAACCCAAAUCAAAACUCAAAAUUGAAGAAGUUUGGGAAAAGUGAAGAACUCUUCGUCGGGCAAGGGCACCUAUGCUGGCCGCCGCUCCAAGCUCGUCACCGCCACGAAAUCACCCGCGAUCGCCGCCCUCUCUCAGGUAUUCCUCCGCCGCCACGAUCUUAGCAGCCAUGUUUGCGAUUGAAGAAAUCUUGCAAUUCAGCGUGUUUGCCCUAAUACUAUCUCAGGAAAGAAUGGAGAAUUCUUACAGUGAGGAGUCCCUCAAUUCAGGUCACAAAGAACAUUGCAUUCAUGGAGAAUGUAACCUUAUUAGGUCCUUUAGUGUAGCUAAUCCUGGUAGAAAAUUUUGGAGGUGUCCUCUUGCAAGCUUGGUAGAACAAAUCAUCGCACGUGAGAUUAGGAGCCCAAAACGUCAAAUACAAAACACAUCAGCAAAAUUCGAAGAACUUCGAAGAACAACAGAUAAUGAAGCGAUUGUUGGAGGAAUGAAGUUUUUACGCAAAGUAUAAUGGAUUAAUAUACUCUGGAGUUGAGAAAAUAAAAACAAAAGAAGAAAAAAGAAAAUGUGUGCGUGUGUGUGGGAGAACAAACUCGCAGUGAAACACGAGAGAGAGAGAGAGAGAGAGAGAGAGAGAUACCAGUGGCGAUGCACAGCGACGAGCUUUGACAGACGAUUCAGAGACGAGCUUCAGAUUGAUUGGAUCUGCUGGAAUGAUUUGGGAAUUUUUUCUCUACUUCAAUUGAUUCCCGGCGACGAGCUUCAGAUUGAUUGUUCUUUCUUCUUCAAUUGCAAGCAUCGUGAGAGAGUUC